This 1398-nucleotide ribosomal RNA is filed under the name Parcubacteria group bacterium. RNAcentral describes it as "bacterial SSU rRNA". It matches the Rfam family "Bacterial small subunit ribosomal RNA". The record is from RNAcentral.
CCUGGCUCAGGAUGAACGCUGGCGGCGUGUCUUAGGCAUGCAAGUCGAAUGCCCGCAAGGGCAUGGCAAACGGGUGCGUAACACAUUGGUAACCUACCCCUUGGCGAGGCAUAAUCAACCGAAAGGUUGGAUAAUUCCUCAUAGUCUCGUUGCACGCAAGUGCAACGAGUAAAGAUUUAUCACCAAGGGAGGGGCCUAUGGUCCAUCAGCUUGUUGGUAGGGUAACGGCCUACCAAGGCUACGACGGAUAGCGGGUAUUAACGUACGACCCGCCUCACCGGGACUGAAACACUGCCCGGACUCCUACGGGAGGCUGCAGUCGAGAAUCUUCCGCAAUGCCCGAAAGGGUGACGGAGCGACGCCGCGUGCAGGAUGAAGGCCUUCGGGUCGUAAACUGCUUUUCCCAGGGAUGAAUUUCUGACAGUACCUGGGGAAUAAGGGACUGCUAACUUCGUGCCAGCAGCAGCGGUAAUACGAAGGUCCCAAGCGUUGUCCGGUGUUAUUAGGCGUAAAGCGUCCGCAGGUGGUUGCGCGCAUCUCUGGUCAAAUCCUACGGCUCAACCGUAGGGCUGCCGGAGAGAUGGCGCAGCUUGAGGCAGGGAGAGGCACGUGGAAUGGCUGGUGUAGGAGUAAAAUCCGUUAAUCUCAGCCAGAACACCAAAUGCGAAGGCAGCGUGCUGGAACUGUCCUGACACUCAGGGACGAAAGCGUGGGUCGCGAAUGGGAUUAGAUACCCCAGUAGUCCACGCCGUAAACGAUGGGUACUAGGCAUUGAGAGCUCGACCCUCCCAGUGCCGCCUCUAAAAAAGCAAACGCGUUAAGUACCCCGCCUGGGGAGUACGGCCGCAAGGCUAAAACUCAAAGGAAUUGACGGGAAUUCGCACAAGCGGUGGAGCGUGUGGUUUAAUUCGAUAGUAAGCGAGGAACCUCACCAAGGCUUGACAUCCUCGGAAUCCUCCGGAAACGGAGGAGUGCCUUCGGGAACCGAGUGACAGGUGUUGCAUGGUUGUCGUCAGCUCGUGUCGUGAGACGUUCGGUUAAGGAAGGGACGACGUCAAAUCAGCAUGACCCUUACGCCUUGGGCUACACACGCGCUACAAUGGCCAGUACAAAGGGACGCCAAGCGGCAACGCGGAGCUAAUCCCCUAAAACUGGUCUCAGUUCGGAUUGGGGGCUGCAAUUCGCCCCCAUGAAGCCGGAAUCGCUAGUAACCGUGUAUCAGCCAUGGCACGGUGAAUACGUUCUCGAAUUUUGUACACACCGCCCGUCAAAUCAAGGGAGUCGGGGGUACCUGAAGGUCCGCAUUAGCGGGCCCAAGGUAAAACCGAUGACAGGGAUUAAGUCGUAACAAGGCAUCCGUAGCGGAAGCUGUGGAUGGAACAACUCCUUUCUAGGGAG